AGCUGGGGGCGCGUGGAAGGGUCGGCUCCGGAAGGCAGCCAUUGAGAGGAGAGAGGGGGAAAAGCUCCGAGCGGUGCGUGUGGAGGGUGCAAGUGCGUGCAAGUGGGCUGGCAUACCUAAUUGUGCUGUCAGCCAAAGCCCACCAAGUUCAUCAUGUAAAGUCACACGCCUGAAUCUUCUUGAUUUGCCAAGAUGAGCAAUCAGAAGAAAAGAAAAUAUAUGGAACUUGCUUGUACCUGGAGUUUAUUGUCUGGAGAGAAUGGAGACAGCACAGAAGAACAAAGAGUGAAGAUUGCUGGAGUCCUUCCUCUUGUGGCUGAUUCCUGAAAUCCAAGGAAUGUUUAGUUGUGGGGAAUAGAAACCAGUUAUUCUCAACAGACCACUCACUUGCCUGCUCAUUUCUGUGACAGUCUAAUGUCUGCCCAUCCAUACCCUGCUUCUUCAUAUUCACCUGUUAGCACCCAUCUAGUCACAACUUCUUCCCAACUCUAAGUCUUACUCUUGCUUUUAAAAGUGUGCAAGAAGUAAACAAUUAUAGGAAUGUGGAGCUGGGUGUGUGUUUGUGUAUUCUUAUUUAUAUAUCUAUAUGUAAAGUAUCUGGAUUGAGUGUGUGUAAAAUAUGUAUUUGAAUGUAAGUCAUCAUAUAUAUCUUACAUAUCUAUCAAAUUAAUAUUUGGCAAAGCCCUGUUCUUUCCCAUUAGCAAGUUAGGCUCAACGGAAGCCACAACAGAAGCAAGAGGGUAAUAUUCAGUGGAAAGAAAAUAGCAGAAAACAAUCGCUUCAAAUAAUUUGCUUCAAAUUCUCUGGCUUCAUUUUCAUGUAAAGAGCUUACAGGUAGAUGUCUUUUCUAUUUUACUCUCUUUUUCUAUUUUGAGAAUAGUCUCUUCCAAGAACCCAACUACCCAUCCCUACCCUGCCCCGCUCCUCUCUAAUUUUUCCCUCUUAUUCACUGGGGCAACAAUCAUUGCAUUGCUUUUUUGGC
Long non-coding RNA from Nomascus leucogenys (northern white-cheeked gibbon), 982 nucleotides. RefSeq lists it as uncharacterized. Lineage: Eukaryota; Metazoa; Chordata; Mammalia; Primates; Hylobatidae. The record is from RefSeq and is a predicted model, not a curated record. The transcript has 5 exons.